CCUACGGGUGGCAGCAGUGGGGAAUAUUGCGCAAUGGGCGCAAGCCUGACGCAGCAACGCCGCGUGAAGGAAGAAGGCUUUCGGGUUGUAAACUUCUUUUCUCAGGGACGAAGCAAGUGACGGUACCUGAGGAAUAAGCCACGGCUAACUACGUGCCAGCAGCCGCGGUAAUACGUAGGUGGUAAGCGUUGUGCGGCGUUACUGGGUGUAAUGGGCGCGUAGGCGGGACUGCAAGUCAUCUGUGAAAACCACGGGCUCAACCUGUGGCCUGCAUAUGAAACUGUAGUACUUGAGUACUGGAGAGGGAGACGGAAUUCCUGGUGUAGCAGUGAAAUGCGUAGAUAUUAGGAGGAACACCAGUGGCGAAGGCGGUUUGCUGGACAGCAACUGACGCUGAGGCGCGAAAGCGAGGGGAGCAAACAGGAUUAGAUACCCGAGUAGUC
Molecule: ribosomal RNA, 443 nt
Filed under: uncultured bacterium
Lineage: Bacteria
Description: partial 16S ribosomal RNA
Rfam family: Bacterial small subunit ribosomal RNA
Source: RNAcentral